GACGAACGCUGGCGGCGUGCCUAAUACAUGCAAGUAGAACGCACAGUUUAUACCGUAGCUUGCUACACCAUAGACUGUGAGUUGCGAACGGGUGAGUAACGCGUAGGUAACCUGCCUGGUAGCGGGGGAUAACUAUUGGAAACGAUAGCUAAUACCGCAUAAUAUUAAUUAUUGCAUGAUAAUUAAUUGAAAGGUGCAAUUGCACCACUACCAGAUGGACCUGCGUUGUAUUAGCUAGUUGGUGAGGUAACGGCUCACCUAGGCGACGAUACAUAGCCGACCUGGAGAGGGUAAUGGCCAACAUUGGACUGGGGCACGGGCCCGGAUCCUUCGGGGAGCAGCAGGAGGGGAACUUCGGCAAAGGACGAAAGUCUGGACGAAGAAAGCCGGGUGGGUGAAGGAGGUUUUCGGGUCGUAAAACUCUGUUUUUAGGGAAGAAAGGGUGUGGGAGUGGAAAGUUCACACUGUGACGGUAUCUUACCAGAAAGGGACGGCUAACUACGUG
This 505-nucleotide ribosomal RNA is filed under the name uncultured bacterium. RNAcentral describes it as "partial 16S ribosomal RNA". It matches the Rfam family "Bacterial small subunit ribosomal RNA", at positions 28 to 507 of the family's 1533-position model. The record is from RNAcentral.